Molecule: ribosomal RNA, 858 nt
Filed under: Triticum aestivum (bread wheat)
Lineage: Eukaryota; Viridiplantae; Streptophyta; Magnoliopsida; Poales; Poaceae
Description: partial small subunit ribosomal RNA
Source: RNAcentral
AUGGAUCCUCAUCCACUUUCUAAUAUUUUUAAGAGAUCAAAUGAACCAACUGCUAGUGAGUUGUGUAGACUAGAUUAUCUUUAUGAAGUUUUGCUUGAAAUUCGUGAAUCUGAAAAUUGUGAUGAAGUGCUAAAAGAAGAAAUUUAUGAAGUGAUUCACGAUAGCUCCUUGAAUGAAAAGCAUGAUUGCAAUGAUGUUAUCAUAAAUUCUAUUAAUGUCAAUUGUGCUAAUAAUAUGCAAAACCCUAAGCUUGAGGAUGCUAAUUUUGCUAUGUCCACUACUUAUUGCAAUGAUCAUGAUUGGGGUGAUAAUGUUUCUUAUGAUCUUGAAAAUUUGUGUAAGCCCCAUGAUAAAUAUGAUAUUGAUAAUAAUGUUUGCAAUAAUAUUGAAAGUGGGUUUGGAAGAGUGUCAACUUUAGGAAAUAACGAUCCCACUACUUUGGAGAAUGAUCAAUCUUAUGAAUAUUUUGAUAAAAGUGGGUUUGAAGAGGUCAUGGCUUUAUUUGAUGAUAAUCCACUAUUUUGGAAGAGUGUCAACUUUGCAUGCAUGUGGAUCAUGAAGAGAAUAUUUUAUAUGAUAGCUAUAUUGUUGAAUUUGAUUAUGGUCCCACAUGUACUUACUAUGAGAGGAAAAUUCGGUUGUAGAAAUUUUCAUGUUACUAAAUUACCUCUCGUUAUGUUGAGAUUGCUAUUGUUUCUUUCUUCUUCCUUGCAUAUGCUAGUUUUUCCUUGUCUUGAUAAUUUGUUUGCUUAUAAAAUGCCUACGCAUAGGAAGUAUGUUAGACUUAAUUUUCUUUCCGCAUGUUACAUGCUGCUCUCUUCGUGUUUCAAUUGCUAUCUUUCAUGUGAGCAUCAUUAA